This is a non-coding RNA of Leeuwenhoekiella marinoflava DSM 3653, 241 nucleotides long. The record is from Rfam. NCBI's taxonomy places the organism in Bacteria, Pseudomonadati, Bacteroidota, Flavobacteriia, Flavobacteriales, Flavobacteriaceae.
GUAACUGCGAAGUUACAUCUGAAGAAAUGCAUCGCAUUCACGAAUACCUUAAAAUUCAAAUAACAAAGAAUAAGUAAAGCGGGACUACAAUCCCGAUAUCCUGUCGGGACCGGUACUGACGAACAGGAACCGUAUACAGAGGCAUAUUUACUUGGGUAAGCAAGCACAUCAUUGUAACGCCCUAAGAAUACCAAAAGUGUAUUAAUGUAGAUACGGCAGUGAUCGGGGGAAAGAAGAUGUU